UCCCUGCUGGCGCAAUGGUAGCGCGCAAGACUUCUAAGUGGAAUUAAUUUCUAUAUAUGAAUCGAUCUUGAGGCUGUAGGUUCGAGCCCUACGUAGGGAG
Molecule: transfer RNA, 100 nt
Organism: Sclerotinia sclerotiorum
Lineage: Eukaryota; Fungi; Ascomycota; Leotiomycetes; Helotiales; Sclerotiniaceae
Rfam family: tRNA
About the family: Transfer RNA (tRNA) molecules are approximately 80 nucleotides in length.
Source: Rfam